UUUGACAAUGCACAUCUAGACACUUAACUUGGUUUAAGUUGGCCUCAUAAACACCCAAAUUUGAGAAUGCACAUCCAGAAAAGUGUGUUUACGGGGCCAACUUAAACCAAAUUAUGGUGUCUAGAUGUGCAUUUCAAAGU
This is a non-coding RNA of Solanum tuberosum (potato), 140 nucleotides long. NCBI's taxonomy places the organism in Eukaryota, Viridiplantae, Streptophyta, Magnoliopsida, Solanales, Solanaceae. The record is from RefSeq and is marked provisional.